Molecule: ribosomal RNA, 681 nt
Filed under: Sharpea azabuensis
Lineage: Bacteria; Bacillati; Bacillota; Erysipelotrichia; Erysipelotrichales; Coprobacillaceae
Description: bacterial SSU rRNA
Rfam family: Bacterial small subunit ribosomal RNA
Source: RNAcentral
GCUUCGGCGCUCAGUGGCGAACGGGUGAGUAGCACAUGGGCAACCUGCCCUUCAGAGGGGGACAACAGCUGGAAACGGCUGCUAAGACCGCAUAGGCGCGGACGGGACAUCCCGUCCACGUUAAACGUCCUUUCGGGGACGGCUGAAGGAUGGGCCUGUGGCGCAUUAGCUUGUUGGCGGGGCAACGGCCCACCAAGGCGACGAUGCGUAGCCGGCCUGAGAGGGCGGACGGCCACACUGGGACUGAGACACGGCCCAGACUCCUACGGGAGGCAGCAGUAGGGAAUUUUCGGCAAUGGGGGGAACCCUGACCGAGCAACGCCGCGUGAACGAGGAAGGCCUUCGGGUCGUAAAGUUCUGUUGCGAAGGAAGAACGCCGGAGGGAGGAAAUGACCUCCGGGUGACGGUACUUCGCGAGAAAGCCACGGCUAACUACGUGCCAGCAGCCGCGGUAAUACGUAGGUGGCGAGCGUUAUCCGGAAUCAUUGGGCGUAAAGAGGGAGCAGGCGGCCGUGAGGGUCUGUGGUAAAAGACUGAAGCUCAACUUCAGUGAGCCAUGGAAACCGGACGGCUGGAGUGCGGCAGAGGAUCGUGGAAUUCCAUGUGUAGCGGUGAAAUGCGUAGAUAUAUGGAGGAACACCAGUGGCGAAGGCGACGGUCUGGGCCUGCACUGACGCUCAU